Molecule: transfer RNA, 72 nt
Filed under: Neocallimastix californiae
Lineage: Eukaryota; Fungi; Neocallimastigomycota; Neocallimastigomycetes; Neocallimastigales; Neocallimastigaceae
Also listed under: 2 other names
Rfam family: tRNA
About the family: Transfer RNA (tRNA) molecules are approximately 80 nucleotides in length.
Source: Rfam by way of RNAcentral
GGGGUGUUAGCUCAGCUGUAGAGCAAUUGACUGCAGAUCAAUAGGUCUUCGGUUCAAAUCCGGAACGCCCCU